AGAGUUUGAUCCUGGCUCAGAGCGAACGUUAGCGGCAGGCUUAACACAUGCAAGUCGAGCGAGAAAGGGGCUUCGGCUCCGAGUAAAGCGGCGGACGGGUGCGUAACACGUGGAUAAUCUGCCUCGUGGCGGGGGACAACAGUCCGAAAGGACUGCUAAUACCGCAUGUCAGGUCGGAAACUCCGGUUUCUGACGAAAAAGAGGGCGUCCGCAAGGAGCUCUCACCACGAGAUGAGUCCGCGUCCCAUCAGCUAGUUGGCGGUGUAAUGGACCACCAAGGCUUAGACGGGUAGCUGGUCUGAGAGGAUGACCAGCCACACUGGGACUGAGACACGGCCCAGACUCCUACGGGAGGCAGCAGUGGGGAAUAUUGGACAAUGGGCGAAAGCCUGAUCCAGCCAUGCCGCGUGAGUGAUGAAGG
RNAcentral lists this ribosomal RNA (421 nucleotides) under uncultured bacterium. RNAcentral describes it as "bacterial SSU rRNA". It matches the Rfam family "Bacterial small subunit ribosomal RNA", at positions 8 to 414 of the family's 1533-position model. The record is from RNAcentral.